Molecule: ribosomal RNA, 231 nt
Filed under: uncultured bacterium
Lineage: Bacteria
Description: partial 16S ribosomal RNA
Rfam family: Bacterial small subunit ribosomal RNA
Source: RNAcentral
CGGGUGAGUAACAUGUAUCCAACCUGCCGUCUACUCUUGGACAGCCUUCUGAAAGGAAGAUUAAUACAAGAUGGCAUCAUGAGUUCACAUGUUCACAUGAUUAAAGGUAUUCCGGUAGACGAUGGGGAUGCGUUCCAUUAGAUAGUAGGCGGGGUAACGGCCCACCUAGUCUUCGAUGGAUAGGGGUUCUGAGAGGAAGGUCCCCCACAUUGGAACUGAGACACGGUCCAA